RNAcentral lists this long non-coding RNA (8056 nucleotides) under Triticum aestivum (bread wheat). RNAcentral describes it as "long non-coding RNA (TAES_LNC004958)". The record is from RNAcentral. Lineage: Eukaryota; Viridiplantae; Streptophyta; Magnoliopsida; Poales; Poaceae.
CGUAUUCAUCUGCAUGAUGCAUACUUCCUGACUGCAUCAUUUACAUGUGCUGUCAAGUUAAUCCUGCUUAUUUUUAAUUUCAGAGAGGCAUUUGGAAAUGGCGUUUUGAUGCCACCGGAAGAUGAUCCACCUCGGCCAUCUUCACAGGACAUGGGAACUCCGACACCACAGAAUGCAAGGCAUGGUCCCUCUUCUACUCCCCUUCCUUCUUGUUUUUGAUUCGGUCGCUCCCCUCCCUCACUCCCUGAUGCUCGCAGGUCAGGGACACCACCUACAAGGAAGGGAAAGCCACCGCUUCGCUCCGAUGGGUCUGCUUCUUCCCUCUCAUGCUCUCUCCGCUCUCUCUCCCUCUCAUGCUCUCUCUGGUUCUCCACGCCCAUCCAACUUGCAGGCUCACUGCAACUUAUUAACUGCAGAAAACUAAAAUUUUGGUUCCCUCUUAGGCCAUGAAGAAUGAAACUGCAGAAAACAGAAACUUUCCUUCAGAAAACUCAAAGUGUUCACACGCACCUGCAAAGCACUCUAGCCAUGCCAUGCACGCACUGAAAGUUUAGCUCUUCUCCAUUCUUCUGAAAAUCAAUAAUAUUACUGGUAUAGCUAGCCACUCUCUGUGUGCUGCUGCUACAUGUAUGAACAAGUUUGAGAAGAUCUCAGGUGAACUCAGGUGAACUCCCGUAUCGAGCUUGAGAAGAUGGCGCACCGCGCGUCGUGCUCACGCGACACACAGGGCGACACACCUGACGAGAGAUGGCGCGUAUUGUACGCUGCCAAUCUGCAGCUGCGCUCGCUCACGUUCUAUGACGGCGAGCUGGUGCUCCGGCGGGAUGCUCUCCGUAUUAUUCUGAUCGAUGACCGCGGAGUCACGGUGGAUGCACGUUUUCUCCGGGCGGGGGAGUUCAUCGACGUCGGCGACAUCGUCUCGCUACCGUGUCACUUUGCGAGAAUUCAGGCGCGGUCUCUGGAGACGUGCACGGUCCAUGGCGCGGUGCACGGGGGGCUCACGAAGAUUCAGGCGGGCGUGGACCGGCCCGGGGUGGCCCCGCACCUCACCAACCAUCCGCUAAUGGCGGCAGGACGCGUGGGAACAUCUCCAUGGCCACCUGACCGCCAGGCGGGACCCAGCACCGGAUCUGGCGUGGAGCCUUCUAGUGCGGAGGAGGCGAGGGGAGAUGCUUCACUUUCCCCACCUACCCCAACUACACGAGACGCACACCUCGCUCCUCUCUUCAAGCACCUAUGGGAGCGUCCUAGGGUUUGCAUUCCCAAUUCAUCCCCUCCUGAUUCCUUUGGCUGGUGGAGGGGCAAGGCCGGCGGCGACGUUCGAUCCUUCGCCCAAGUUGCUGGAGCUGAGCGGGCAGGGAGCGUGCCGCGCACCGUGAUGGGUGACCGUGGCGGGGGGAGAUCUGGCGGAUGGCGCGACAACACUGCGCGGGGUGGAUUCGGUGGCGGUCGCAAGGCUCCGCCGCCAAACCAAUCUCGUCAUAUGGUAUGGCAGCGGCCAGAUCCGCCACCGGCGACGUCGGGAGAUUCGAGAUCUGGUGGUGGCGAAGUUGCGGACAGAUGGGAAGCUGCUGCUCGGGCCAUGAGUGAUGCGAGCAAGGAGAAGAUGGCGGGCGCCAAGGAACCGCCUCCACCACCAACAUCUGGGCAUGUGGCGACCAAGGGCAACACCGAGCUCUGCAUCAAUUGCUCCCUCCCAGGUCAUUUCGCUCCUCGUUGCCCUACCAUUCGCUGCGAUAAGUGUAACAAACUAGGUCAUAUGGCUCAACUUUGCCAAGUUCUGAGGCCUUGGGAGUGUACCCCCUUCAUGUGUGGUUUUCAAUCUCCUGGUCAGGGUUUCUUUUAUAUACCUGAUAUGUGUGCAGCUAAGCAUAGUGUGGAAAACCCAAUAAUGUGGUGAUUACUGUAGUUGAAGGGGAUGCUACUGUUAAGGAUAUUGAGCAGGAAUUUAAUGCUAUAUUUGCCAAAAAACCUGGGAAAAGGAAAUGGCGUUGUACUGCCCGUUCUAUUGGCCCUGCUCAAUAUGUGAUGCGAUUUCCUAAUGCUAGUGAAGUUGAGAGAGCAUGCUGUUAUGGGAAACGCUUGCCGCUGAAAGAGGGGAAUAUUGUGGUAUGCAUUACUCCUUGGACCGCUUCGAUUGGAGCUAAAGGCAUGCUGGAAAAAGCGUGGGUUAGGGUUCGCAACAUUCCCAUAGAGAAAAGGUGCACUGAACAUGUGGCUUAUGCCGGGGCUCUAGUGGGGAUUACAUUAGAGGUGGAUGAAUCGACUGUGCAUAAACCAGAGUAUGCUAGAAUUCUUCUUGGCUGCAUAGAUGUUGAGAAAAUCCCUCCUUCAGCUGAAGGAGUGCUGGGAGAGCAAAUAUAUGAUUUCUUUUAUGAAGUUGAAAAAGUUGUGACUAUGGGUGCUGGGAAAAGUCAAGCCUAUACUGCUGUGGACAGCAGUGCAUCACCUUCUGUCCCCAAGAAAGCAAGGAUGGAUUCAUAUCCUGCUUCUUCAACGGGGCAGGGGGAGACUAGUGCUUCCCCCCCCCCCAGAACUAUGAUAAGGGAAUACAGAGGCUUCCUGCAGUAGUUGAGAGUGAAGAAGAGGAGGAUAGUGAGGAAGGUAACACCACAGAGCUUCUGAUUGAGACGAUGGCCAGAGAACAUGCAGCUGAAAAAAUAUCUUAUUGUGGCUCUCAAUCUGAUAAAAGUUCCUGUGACAAAAUGACUGAAGAUCUGGAUAGAGAUGAAAUAAAUGAAUAUCACAGCAAUGUGAACAGCAUACAUAAAGGUGCUUGGGGGAUGAUUACUCCUAUUCCUCCCUCACCUUUGUUUAUGUAUCGUGAUGGAUGUACUUAUGGAAAUGCUUUUCCUCCUUUGUCAGAUUAUGUGGUUUGGCCUUCUCUUCCACAUAUUGUACCUCUUGAGGAGGGAACUGUGGAAGGGGGAGAAAACUGUAGUGUUUAUACAGUUGAAUCUCCUUCUGGAUCACCAAUCCAUGACUGCAUGAGUGGUGAAAAGGAAGUUUCACACAGACAGAAGCAGAAGCUGGAGAGGGUGGAGAAUGUGGCGGCAAACAGAAUGAGGAAACGUAAUUUGGAAGGUAUGGAUAUAUCCGAGUCAAAAAAUCAAUUCUCUGCCUUAUCUGAUUCUGCUAUUAUAUUGCGUGCUGCUCUGAUGGGAGUGCAAAUCCCCGAUGAUGACUUUGUUACUGUUGAUAUCCUGCGUGAAUUAGAAAUCUCUAGAAAUUCGUUGCAUGAAAAAAUUGAUGCUAAUUCACAGAAAAUAACUGUCAAUGAUGGAUUGGGUAAUGAUGUGCCCCUCUCUUUAACAUGGGAUGAUGAUAGUGGAAAUAUGGACGAACCAUUUAUCCUGGUUCAGUCUAAAAACAAAAGAAAGAAAAAUCAUCGCAGGAAAACGGUGAUAGUUAUAUCCCCUAACAAGUCCAGUAGACCUGUGACUAGAAGUCAGCACAAUAACGAGAUGGGUAGGGCUGCUAUGGAUCCUGGCAGACCUACCAGAGCGAGAGGAAAACCUGAAAGAUACAAAUGAAAGGGUUUUUUUGGAAUUGUAGAGGAGUGGGAAAAAAAGGUAUGUCCACCUGCCUAAUUGACAUGAUCAAUGUCAAUGCUUUAGAUUUCAUUGGUCUUCAAGAGACUAUGAAGAAGGUCUAUAAUCCUGCAUUUUUCAGACAGAUUGAUCCGAAUCAUAAAUUUCGUUGGGAGUGGAAUCCCUCUAGGGGGAAAUCAGGUGGCAUCCUGUGUGGUAUUAGCAAGGAUAAGUUUGAUAUCCUUAUGACCAAAUGUGGUAAAUACAUCCUACAGUUGACCCUGUUCGAUAAGAGCAGGAACUGUAGCUGGGCUUUGAUGAUUGUUUAUGGUGCGGCACAUGAUGAACAGAAGCCUGAAUUCAUUGCGGAACUGUCAUCUAUGUGUCACAGUACAAACAUUCCGUAUCUAGUUGGGGGAGAUUUUAAUAUCAUUAGACAUUGUGGGGAAAAAAACAAAAAAACAUCUAUGUCCCAUUUCUUGGAUGUGUUCAACUCCGUUAUACACCUGCUUGGGUUGAGAGAGAUCUAUAUGACUGGUGGUUGUUACACCUGGUCCAAUAAACAAAAAAACCCGACUCUAGAAAAACUUGAUAGAGUUCUCAUGUCUCCUGACUGGGAAGAUUUAUAUCCUCUCGCUUCUGUUUAUAAGUUGACAAAAGAAAUAUCAGACCACAAUCCUUUGUUGGUUGAUGGUGGGAAUGCCUCAUCUAGAUCGCCGGGUAGCAGAUGCUUUAAGUUUGAUAACGCCUGGCUCAGUAAUCCAGACUUUCUCCCUCUGGUUGCUGAGAUUUGGACUAAGCCAGUGUAUACUUUAAACCCCAUCGAUUCCUUGAAUAUUAAGCUUAAGAGAAUUAAGAAAUUCUUUAAGGGCUGGGGCUCCAAUUUGUUUGGUCAUAACAAGAUUAGGAAGAACAUUAUUAAGCUUGAUUUGCAGGAGCUUGAAAAACUGGAAGAAACUGAUGGUUUAUGUGGGGACGCUUAUACUAGGAAGUUGGAUAUUCUAGUUGAGCUGAAUAAUAUGUAUGUGGAAGAAGAGCUCCACUGGCAUCAACUCUCUAAUGAGAGGUGGUUAUUGAAAGGGGACAACAACACUGAUUUUUUUCAUAAAGUGGCGAAUGGUCGUCGUAGAAAAAAUUCCAUGAUUUCCCUGGAGUGUGGGUCCACUCUUAUUGAAGGUACUAAAAAUUUACUUGCCCAUGCCACUGAGUAUUAUAAAACCCUGUUUGGUCCGGCUCCUGGCAACAUGUGUCAGAUUGAUGCCUCUUUGUGGUCUCAGGACGAGUUGAUUACUCCAGCGGACAAUGAGGACUUGACCCGUCCUUUCUCGUUGGAGGAAAUAAAAAAUGCUCUGUUCGACAUGAAAUCUAACCGUGCCCCUGGUCCAGACGAUAUUCCUGCUGAAUUUUAUCAACACUGCUGGGAGGUGGUGGCCAGUGAUCUCCUAUGCUUGUUCGAUUGGUUUCAUGCAGGCAAGCUAGAUGUUCGAAGACUUAACUAUGGCAUCAUUACUUUGUUGCCUAAGUCGUCAGAUGCUAAAAGUAUUCGGCAGUAUAGACCUAUUUGUCUUCUCCGUUGCCCUUACAAACUGCUCACCAAAGUUAUGGAUAUUAGGGCUAGCAAAUAUGCGCAUAAACUGUUUAGUAUCCAGCAAAAUGCUUUUAUUAAGGGGAGACACAUAGUGGAUGGAAUCCUAUCCCUCCACGAAAUUCUGCACUAUACCCAUGUCAAAAAACAGUGUGGAGUGGUCCUUAAACUUGACUUCGAGAAAGCUUACGAUAAAGUCAAUUGGGAGUUCUUGCUUGAUUGUCAUAAGAAGCAUGGAUUUAACUCUAAGUGGUGUGGAUGGGUCUCUCAAAUCCUAAAAGAUGGCACGAUUAGUGUCAAGAUUAACGACGAGGUGGGACCAUACAUCCAAAGUGCCAAGGGGGUGAGGCAGGGGGAUCCUCACUCUCCUUUCUUGUUCAAUAUUGCGGCUGAUUGCUUGACCAAAAUGGUUCUCGCUGCUCAAAAGAAUGGUCUCAUUAAAGGAUUAGCUGCUGAUCUUAUUGAUAAUGGUGUUAGUAUCCUGCAGUAUGCAGAUGACACGGUUCUUUGUUUUGAGCAUGAUAUUGGCAAAGCUGUUAAUAUCAAACUCUUGCUAUAUCUUUUUGAACUUAUGUCAGGGCUUAAGAUUAACUUUGAAAAAAGUGAGAUUUUCAGUAUCGGGGGAGAUAAUGAUACUGACUUGGUUUAUGCUGACAUGUUUGGUUGUCAAGCGGGCACUCUGCCUAUGAAAUAUCUGGGAGUCCCCGUUACAUAUUCUGCUCUCAGGAAUGCGGAUCUGGACUUCCUUGAUGGGAAAAUUAUCAAAAAGCUUGAUGCCUGGGUAGCUUAUGCGGCAUCUUCUGGAGCCAGAUUGACGCUGUUAGGAUCUAGUUUGGAUGGAAUUCCCUCCUUCCUCAUGUCAAUGUUCCUUUUCAAUAGGACUUUCAUUGAGAAGCUUGAUAAACAUCGUAGACGUUUCUUUUGGAGGAGAAAAAAAAAUAAGAAACGUGGUUACCAUAUGGUUAAAUGGUCAAGAGUUUGCCGAUCGAAAAAAAUAGGAGGGCUAGGUAUUAAAGAUCUCCAUAAGCAAAAUGUUGCUUUAUUAGCUAAGUGGUGGUGGAAAUUAGAUACGAGAGAUGGGCUUUGGCAACGUAUAGUCAAAGCUCGCUACCUCAGGAACAAAACUGUGGCUAACGUACAGAGUCGCUUUUCAGAUUCUCCCUGUUGGAAAGCGAUUAUGAAAGGACUCAUAUAUGGCGGGUAGAAAAAUUGUGAUCGAGAGUGGAAACCUUGCUAGAGUCUGGCAUGACCAGUGGAUCGAGAAUAUUGUGUUAAAAAAUCACUUUCCUGAUUUGUUUGGUAUAUGCCAGGAGCAGGAUUGCACUGUUGCAUCCUGGGUGGCAAACAAUUAUGUCCUUGGCUUUAGGCGUAGAUUGGUUGGGGUGUUGGGAGAACAGUGGGACUGGAUGGUUACGGAAGCUAGAAAACUCUCGUUGAGCACCUCCCCAGAUAAAGUUAUGUGGGCCUGGGGCAACAAAGGGAAAUUUAAUACUAAAUCAUUAUAUGAAUGGUUGGAAAAAGAUCUAUCAAGCCCUAAUUAUAAGAUGGUGUGGAAAGCACCUAUUCCUCUGAAAAUUAAGAUCUUUCUUUGGCAGUUGUUCCAGAAUGCAGUUCUUACUCGUGACAAUAUGCGUGCGAGGAACUGGCCUGGGAAUCCCAUGUGCUCCUUUUGCACUAAUAUGGAAACAGCGAAUCAUCUGUUUUUCACAUGCUCGCUUGCCCGUUCAGUUUGGGGGGUGCUGGGCAUGACGGCUGGGGCGUCAUGUUGCCCCCGCUCGCUUUGGCAAAGUUUCGCUUGGCUCUAUAAGUUCUUUCCAGGCGGAAAUCAUUUUUAUAUGAUGAUUAUUGUUGCGAUAUGCUGGGGGAUUUGGAUACUCCGCAAUAAAGUUACCUUUGAUAAUCAUACUGUUCGUUCGCCUUUAGAGGCUGUCUUCACUGCCUGUUCGUUUUUGUUGUACUGAGCAGGUCUGCUUAAGGGAGAAGAUAGGGAGAAGCUUCAGGCCGGAGUGAAGAGGCUAGCGCAUGCGGCUGCUGCUCUGGCGGACAGAUCGUUUCCUCGAGGCAGGCUCCUCUUAGGAGACAAUGAGGGGAUCCAGAUUGGAUGAUGAAGUUCUGCGUCUUUUGCUUAGUCAUCUCCCACUGGGGGUGGAUGCCCGCUGGGUCUUUUGUCUCCUAGUUAUUCUCCGUUUAGUUACAGUAAUGUUCCAGCUUGAAUUGUCCUGGGACUUUUUGGAUUCAUAGUUGAGCUGUGGAUGUUUGUGUCGUCAGGUUUUCGUCCCAUGGCGGAUGGUUCGUUCCAGAAUCAUCCUGCGGUGGGUUUUCUGACGAUGCGCCAACUCGCUCUCCCCUUUCGGUUUCAUCUGCGCUCUGGGCGUUUUGCUUCGUUAUGUUAGGUGUGGUGGUUGUACUGCUAGACAUAUUUGGCUACAAAAACUGCUGUAUUUUCGUUGAUUGAAAAACUAAUGGAAAGGGGUGAGAGCCCGGUUGGAAAAAUGAACAAGUUCUUAGUCCUUAGGGGGAAACAGUAUAUAUAAUCUUGUGCUUCUCGUGAUGAUUCCGGUAUAUAUAAUAGUUAGUGGAUUUUUCACUCAAGCUUGUUUCUCUCUUUUGCCACUUUGGUCUAGUUGGGCGCUGUAAAUGCAUGCGCUCGAGUGUUAGCAACAUUAGGAUGUCUUUUCUUACAUCAACAUUAGAGGCUCCAUAGCCCGUACUAGUUGGCACUUGGCCAUAUUCAUCUGCAUGAUGCAUACUUCCUGAGUACAACUUUUCUGAAAACACUUGCUGUCAAGUUAACUCUUGCUUAUUCAUAAUUUCAGAGAGGUCCACAAGAUGCAAGGUCCCUCUUCUACUCCCCUUCCUUCUGCUAGUUUUUGACUCGGCCACUCCCCUCCCUCACUCCCUGAUGCUCGCAUGUCAGGGGCACCACCUACAAGGAAGGGAA